RNAcentral lists this ribosomal RNA (567 nucleotides) under Mucor sp. BJ14. RNAcentral describes it as "eukaryotic LSU rRNA". The stretch from base 184 to 336 matches the Rfam family "5.8S ribosomal RNA". Lineage: Eukaryota; Fungi; Mucoromycota; Mucoromycetes; Mucorales; Mucoraceae. The record is from RNAcentral.
UUAUUAUCUAUUUACUGUGAACUGUAUUAUUAUUUGACAUUUGAGGGAUGUUCCAAUGUUAUAAGGAUAGACAUUGGAAAUGUUAACCGAGUCAUAAUCAGGUUUAGGCCUGGUAUCCUAUUAUUAUUUACCAAAUGAAUUCAGAAUUAAUAUUGUAACAUAGACCUAAAAAAUCUAUAAAACAACUUUUAACAACGGAUCUCUUGGUUCUCGCAUCGAUGAAGAACGUAGCAAAGUGCGAUAACUAGUGUGAAUUGCAUAUUCAGUGAAUCAUCGAGUCUUUGAACGCAACUUGCGCUCAUUGGUAUUCCAAUGAGCACGCCUGUUUCAGUAUCAAAACAAACCCUCUAUCCAACUUUUGUUGUAUAGGAUUAUUGGGGGCCUCUCGAUCUGUAUAGAUCUUGAAAUCCCUGAAAUUUACUAAGGCCUGAACUUGUUUAAAUGCCUGAACUUUUUUUUAAUAUAAAGGAAAGCUCUUGUAAUUGACUUUGAUGGGGCCUCCCAAAUAAAUCUUUUUUAAAUUUGAUCUGAAAUCAGGCGGGAUUACCCGCUGAACUUAAGCAUAUC